GGAGAGAUGUCCGAGCUGGCUUAAGGAGCACGCCUGGAAAGCGUGUGGGCCGUAAGGCCUCCUGGGUUCGAAUCCCAGUCUCUCCG
RNAcentral lists this transfer RNA (86 nucleotides) under Candidatus Zixiibacteriota bacterium. RNAcentral's name for it is "tRNA-Ser". It matches the Rfam family "tRNA". Rfam says of the family: Transfer RNA (tRNA) molecules are approximately 80 nucleotides in length. Their secondary structure includes four short double-helical elements and three loops (D, anti-codon, and T loops). Further hydrogen bonds mediate the characteristic L-shaped molecular structure. tRNAs have two regions of fundamental functional importance: the anti-codon, which is responsible for specific mRNA codon recognition, and the 3' end, to which the tRNAs corresponding amino acid is attached (by aminoacyl-tRNA synthetases). tRNAs cope with the degeneracy of the genetic code in two manners: having more than one tRNA (with a specific anti-codon) for a particular amino acid; and 'wobble' base-pairing, i.e. permitting non-standard base-pairing at the 3rd anti-codon position. The record is from RNAcentral. RNAcentral also lists the same sequence under 1 other name. Lineage: Bacteria; Pseudomonadati; Candidatus Zixiibacteriota.